UGGGGAAUUUUGGACAAUGGGGGCAACCCUGAUCCAGCAAUGCCGCGUGUGAGAAGAAGGCCUUCGGGUUGUAAAGCACUUUUGUCCGGGAAGAAAUCGCACCUGAUAAUACCGGGUGUGGAUGACGGUACCGGAAGAAUAAGGACCGGCUAACUACGUGCCAGCAGCCGCGGUAAUACGUAGGGUCCAAGCGUUAAUCGGAAUUACUGGGCGUAAAGCGUGCGCAGGCGGUUGUGCAAGACCGAUGUGAAAUCCCCGGGCUUAACCUGGGAAUUGCAUUGGUGACUGCACGGCUAGAGUGUGUCAGAGGGGGGUAGAAUUCCACGUGUAGCAGUGAAAUGCGUAGAGAUGUGGAGGAAUACCGAUGGCGAAGGCAGCCCCCUGGGAUAACACUGACGCUCAUGCACGAAAGCGUGGGGAGCAAACAGG
RNAcentral lists this ribosomal RNA (429 nucleotides) under Bacillota bacterium. Its description in RNAcentral is "Firmicutes bacterium partial 16S ribosomal RNA". It matches the Rfam family "Bacterial small subunit ribosomal RNA", at positions 355 to 776 of the family's 1533-position model. Lineage: Bacteria; Bacillati; Bacillota. The record is from RNAcentral.